UAGGGAAUCUUCGGCAAUGGGGGCAACCCUGACCGAGCAACGCCGCGUGAGUGAAGAAGGUUUUCGGAUCGUAAAGCUCUGUUGUAAGAGAAGAACGAGUGUGAGAGUGGAAAGUUCACACUGUGACGGUAUCUUACCAGAAAGGGACGGCUAACUACGUGCCAGCAGCCGCGGUAAUACGUAGGUCCCGAGCGUUGUCCGGAUUUAUUGGGCGUAAAGCGAGCGCAGGCGGUUAGAUAAGUCUGAAGUUAAAGGCUGUGGCUUAACCAUAGUACGCUUUGGAAACUGUUAACUUGAGUGCAGAAGGGAGAGUGGAAUUCCAUGUGUAGCGGUGAAAUGCGUAGAUAUAUGGAGGAACACCGGUGGCGAAAGCGGCUCUCUGGUCUGUAACUGACGCUGAGGCUCGAAAGCGUGGGGGGCGAACAGGAUUAGAUACCCUGGUAGUCCACGCCGUAAAACGAUGAGUGCUAGGGUGUUAGGCCCCUUUCCGGGGCUUAGUGCCGCAGCUAACGCAUUAAGCACUCCGCCUGGGGGAGUACGACCGCAAGGUUGAAACUCAAAUGAAUUGACGGGGGUCAUAGCUGUUUCCUG
This 591-nucleotide ribosomal RNA is filed under the name uncultured bacterium. Its description in RNAcentral is "partial 16S ribosomal RNA". It matches the Rfam family "Bacterial small subunit ribosomal RNA", at positions 355 to 941 of the family's 1533-position model. The record is from RNAcentral.